GACAGAGGUGCCGAACGUAUUCGGAAUCACUGGGCUUAAAGCGCGUGUAGGCGGAUGGGGACGUCGGUCGCUGAAAUCCCCCGGCUCAACCGGGGAACGGGCGCCGAAACGCCCCGUCUCGAGGGACGUAGGGGGACCUGGAACUUCCGGUGGAGCGGUGAAAUGCGUUGAGAUCGGAAGGAACGCCCGUGGCGAAAGCGAGGUCCUGGACGUCUACUGA
Molecule: ribosomal RNA, 220 nt
Filed under: uncultured bacterium
Lineage: Bacteria
Description: partial 16S ribosomal RNA
Rfam family: Bacterial small subunit ribosomal RNA
Source: RNAcentral